GCCGGGUGGCAGUGGCACAUGCCUGUAGUCCCAGCUACUCAGGAGGCUGAGGUGGGAGGAUCACUUGAGCCCAGGAGUUCUGGGCUGUAGUGCACUAUGCCGAUCAGGUGUCCGCACUAAGUUAGGCAUCAAUAUGGUAACCUCCCAGGAGCAGGGGACCACCAGGCUGUCUAAAGAGGGGUGAACCGGCCCAGGUCAGAAACACAGCAGGUCAAAACUCCUGUGCUGAUCAAUAGUGGGAUCGUGCCUGUGAACAGCCACUGCACUCCAGCCUGGGCAACACAGCAAGACCCCAUCUCU
Molecule: signal recognition particle RNA, 300 nt
Filed under: Cebus imitator (Panamanian white-faced capuchin)
Lineage: Eukaryota; Metazoa; Chordata; Mammalia; Primates; Cebidae
Description: Metazoan signal recognition particle RNA (ENSCCAG00000008959.1)
Rfam family: Metazoan signal recognition particle RNA
About the family: The signal recognition particle (SRP) is a universally conserved ribonucleoprotein. It is involved in the co-translational targeting of proteins to membranes. The eukaryotic SRP consists of a 300-nucleotide 7S RNA and six proteins: SRPs 72, 68, 54, 19, 14, and 9.
Source: RNAcentral